UGGGGAAUAUUGCGCAAUGGGCGAAAGCCUGAUGCAGCAACGCCGUGUGAGUGAUGAAGGCCUUCGGGUUGUAAAGCUCUGUCUUUUGGGACGAUAAUGACGGUACCAAAGGAGGAAGCCACGGCUAACUACGUGCCAGCAGCCGCGGUAAUACGUAGGUGGCAAGCGUUGUCCGGAUUUACUGGGCGUAAAGGAUGCGUAGGCGGAUUUUUAAGUGAGAUGUGAAAACCCUAAGCUUAACUUGGGGACUGCAUUUCAUACCGGAAAUCUAGAGUGCGGGAGAGGAGAAUGGAAUUCCUAGUGUAGCGGUGAAAUGCGUAGAGAUUAGGAAGAACACCAGUGGCGAAGGCGAUUCUCUGGACCGUAACUGACGCUGAGGCAUGAAAGCGUGGGUAGCAAACAGGAUUAGAUACCCUGGUAGUCCACGCCGUAAACGAUGAGUACUAGGUGUAGGAGGUAUCGACCCCUUCUGUGCCGCAGUUAACACAAUAAGUACUCCGCCUGGGAAGUACGAUCGCAAGAUUAAAACUUAAAUGAAUUGACGGGGUCAUAGCUG
Molecule: ribosomal RNA, 556 nt
Filed under: uncultured bacterium
Lineage: Bacteria
Description: partial 16S ribosomal RNA
Rfam family: Bacterial small subunit ribosomal RNA
Source: RNAcentral